ACAUGCAAGUCGAGGGGCAGCGGGGACAUCGGAAGCUUGCUUUCUGACCGCCGGCGACCGGCGCACGGGUGAGUAACGCGUAUCGAACCUGCCCACUACUCGGGAAUAGCCUUGCGAAAGUAAGAUUAAUGCCCGAUGUUUUCAGCGGUCCGCAUGAACUGCUGAACAAAGAUUUAUCGGUAUGAGAUGGCGAUGCGUCCCAUUAGCUUGUUGGCGGGGUAACAGCCCACCAAGGCAUCGAUGGGUAGGGGUUCUGAGAGGAAGGUCCCCCACAUUGGAACUGAGACACGGUCCAAACUCCUACGGGAGGCAGCAGUGAGGAAUAUUGGUCAAUGGACGCAAGUCUGAACCAGCCAAGUAGCGUGCAGGAUGACGGCCCUCCGGGUUGUAAACUGCUUUUAGUUGGGAAUAAAGUGCAGCUCGUGAGCUGUUUUGUAUGUACCAUCAGAAAAAGGACCGGCUAAUUCCGUGCCAGCAGCCGCGGUAAUACGGAAGGUCCAGGCGUUAUCCGGAUUUAUUGGGUUUAAAGGGAGCGCAGGCCGGACUCUUAAGUCAGUUGUGAAAUACGGCGGCUCAACGUCUGGACUGCAGUUGAUACUGGGAGUCUUGAGUACGCACACAGUGGAUGCUGGAAUUCAUGGUGUAGCGGUGAAAUGCUCAGAUAUCAUGAAGAACUCCGAUCGCGAAGGCAGGUAUCCGGGGUGCAACUGACGCUGAGGCUCGAAAGUGCGGGUAUCAAACAGGAUUAGAUACCCUGGUAGUCCGCACAGUAAACGAUGAAUACUCGCGGUUGGCGAUACAAUGUCAGCCGCCAAGCGAAAGCGUUAAGUAUUCCACCUGGGGAGUACGCCGGCAACGGUGAAACUCAAAGGAAUUGACGGGGGCCCGCACAAGCGGAGGAACAUGUGGUUUAAUUCGAUGAUACGCGAGGAACCUUACCCGGGCUUGAACUGAGGGGGAAUGAGCCAGAGAUGACUCAGUCUUCGGACUCCCUUGGAGGUGCUGCAUGGUUGUCGUCAGCUCGUGCCGUGAGGUGUCG
Molecule: ribosomal RNA, 1039 nt
Filed under: human gut metagenome
Description: bacterial SSU rRNA
Rfam family: Bacterial small subunit ribosomal RNA
Source: RNAcentral